GAUGAACGCUGGCGGCGUGCCUAAUACAUGCAAGUCGAGCGAACAGAUGAUGAUCUUGCGCCUCUGACGUUAGCGGCGGACGGGUGAGUAACACGUGUAUAACCUACCUGUAUUACUGGUAUCACUUCGGGAAACCGGAUCUAAUACCGUAUGAUAUAUUGCACCGCGUUGUUCAUUGGUAAGAUUCGGUGUUGGGGGCACUUCUAGCUGCAUCCGCGCCUCAUUGGCUGGUUGGUAAGUUAACGGCUUACCACGGCUACGAUGCGUAGCCGACGUGAGAGGGUGAUAGGCCACAUGGGAACUGAGCCACGGUCCAGACUACUGAGGGACGCAGCAGAAGGCAAUCUUACGCAAUGGGCGAAAGCAUGACGGAGUAAGGCCGCGUGAGUGAUGAAGGCCCUCGGAUCGUAAAAAUCUGCUAUUAGGGAAGAACCACUGUGUAAGUAAAUAUGCACGUAUUGACGGUACCUAAUAAGAAAGCCACGGCUAACUACGUG
This 497-nucleotide ribosomal RNA is filed under the name uncultured bacterium. RNAcentral describes it as "partial 16S ribosomal RNA". It matches the Rfam family "Bacterial small subunit ribosomal RNA", at positions 28 to 507 of the family's 1533-position model. The record is from RNAcentral.